RNAcentral lists this transfer RNA (94 nucleotides) under Clostridium carboxidivorans P7. Its description in RNAcentral is "tRNA-Ser". It matches the Rfam family "tRNA". Rfam says of the family: Transfer RNA (tRNA) molecules are approximately 80 nucleotides in length. Their secondary structure includes four short double-helical elements and three loops (D, anti-codon, and T loops). Lineage: Bacteria; Bacillati; Bacillota; Clostridia; Eubacteriales; Clostridiaceae. The record is from RNAcentral.
UGGAGAGAUGUCCGAGUGGUCGAAGGUGAUUGACUCGAAAUCAAUUGUACGGUUAAUACCGUACCGGGGGUUCAAAUCCCCCUCUCUCCGCCAA